Molecule: long non-coding RNA, 322 nt
Filed under: Chinchilla lanigera (long-tailed chinchilla)
Lineage: Eukaryota; Metazoa; Chordata; Mammalia; Rodentia; Chinchillidae
Description: lncRNA (ENSCLAG00000022693.1)
Source: RNAcentral
CGCCCAACCCCCACCCGAACUUGUCAUAACUGGAUUGGCUUCUGGGACCUCUAGCUAACAUUAUUUUUUCCAGUGGUCUACAUGCAGCUUUUUUGGACUCCUACCCCUUCAAUGCACGGCAUGGACCCAGGACUCUCGGAGUGGAAGGCCGUGCCCCUUGCUCUGACCUCCAGAGCUGUGAGAGAGUCUGUCUUUACAAAGCUAGCCUGCUUCUCAUAUUUCAUGAUAGUCACGAAAAAUAGACUAAUACAUGACUCAAACCUUAAAAUUAUUAUCAGAUCUGAGUUUAAAAACAGCCAACUAUACUACGAAAUAAGAGUAC